Drosophila miranda is the source of this 463-nucleotide long non-coding RNA. RefSeq lists it as uncharacterized. The transcript is spliced from 2 exons. The record is from RefSeq and is a predicted model, not a curated record. Lineage: Eukaryota; Metazoa; Arthropoda; Insecta; Diptera; Drosophilidae.
UUCAGUGAGCUAGAGACUUGAGGCAACUGUCUGGCUUGUUUACAAUGAUGGCUAUCUUGAAGUACAUUAUCAUUCUGAUGGUGGCCGUGUCCUGUAGUCAUUCGUUCGUAUUGUGGCAAAAUUAUCCAGCCAAAGGCACCGCGGAUGAAGCAUGCACUUUGCCAAAUGGCCGCAUACUUCGAAAUUUACAGGCUACUACUCACCUUGAAAUGUGUGCUGAAUAUUUAUGCUGGAACACGUCCGGAUCCACCAUUGUAAUGUAUUGCCAGAUCACACUCCCGUUCCAGGAGUGCAACGAAACUGGCGUUGACACGUACAAACUAUUUCCCGAAUGCUGUUUUCAAUGCGUCUACUACACUGAUUGUUAAGUUAAACAUAUGAGCAAAACAACAACGAAUUCAGAACUGUACUCGUAUAGGAUUGUUUAUUUAAAAAAACCAUCACAAGUGUUAUGUUUUAAGAG